Molecule: long non-coding RNA, 675 nt
Organism: Drosophila arizonae
Lineage: Eukaryota; Metazoa; Arthropoda; Insecta; Diptera; Drosophilidae
Source: RefSeq, a predicted model, not a curated record
UUUCAAUUGCGUGGGUCAAUAAUUAGCUGUUUCGGAGUAUGCAGUCUGCAGAAUAUUUACCGUACUGGCUGCAUACACACGCAAAAGUAUUCCCAUACACGUAUACAUAUACAAACAGACAGGCAUGUAUACACAUACAUGCAUACACACAUAAGCAGCGACGCCAGUUAGGGCGGUGGCUGCUGCCUGGCAGCAGGCUAACUAUUCUCAUGUAUUUUGUUGCUUCACUGACUGCAAGCUUGCGACGCAAUACUUUUUUAACAGAGACUUGGGCGUCUACUACUCAAACUCGAGGAAAGUAAAAGCCACUCAGUAUAACAAACUGUGAGCAUUAGGUAAGGAUAUUUUUAGCGAACAAGUCCAAGUGCAAACGUGUUGGCAAGUGUAAUCAGGCGUAGAAUGCUCAAACAAAGACAAGACACAACGCCAAUGAAAAUAAGUCAAGUCAGGCAACUUGAACGAACAAGGCAACAGUCGCACAGACAACACACUCAUACACACAAACUCGCACUCGUACUCGCUCGCUCACACAGUACACAGGCAUGUGCAUGCAUAUAUACGCACUUACAAAAGAAAGAAGAGACAGGGCAAAGAGCGUACGAGUGACAGCACAAAGCGUAAAAGGAUAAAUGAAGCACGCAAGCGAAGAAUGUUGAUAAGCAACGCAGAGCACAA